GAUGAACGCUGGCGGCGUGCCUAACACAUGCAAGUCGAGCGAUUUACUUCGGUGAAGAGCGGCGGACGGGUGAGUAACGCGUGGGUAACCUGCCCUGUACACACGGAUAACAUACUGAAAGGCAUGCUAAUACAGGAUAACAUAAGAGAGUCGCACGGCUUUCUUAUCAAAGCUUUUGCGGUACAGGAUGGACCCGCGUCUGAUUAGCUAGUUGGUAAGGUAACGGCUUACCAAGGCGACGAUCAGUAGCCGACCCGAGAGGGUGAUCGGCCACAUUGGAACUGAGACACGGUCCAAGCUCCUACGGGAGGCAGCAGUGGGGAAUAUUGCACAAUGGGCGAAAGCCUGAUGCAGCAACGCCGCGUGAGCGAUGAAGGCCUUCGGGUCGUAAAGCUCUGUCCUCAAGGAAGAUAAUGACGGUACUUGAGGAGGAAGCCCCGGCUAACUACGUGCCAGCAGCCGCGGUAA
RNAcentral lists this ribosomal RNA (468 nucleotides) under uncultured bacterium. RNAcentral's name for it is "partial 16S ribosomal RNA". It matches the Rfam family "Bacterial small subunit ribosomal RNA", at positions 28 to 523 of the family's 1533-position model. The record is from RNAcentral.